Molecule: transfer RNA, 71 nt
Filed under: Salmonella enterica subsp. enterica
Lineage: Bacteria; Pseudomonadati; Pseudomonadota; Gammaproteobacteria; Enterobacterales; Enterobacteriaceae
Description: tRNA-OTHER
Source: RNAcentral
GCGGGAAUACUACAGGUAUACCUACCUGCCAUAGUCGGGGGUCGCGAGUUCGAGUCUCGUUUCCCGCUCCA